UCCUCCCUCUUUCUUCGCGCUUAACACAUGCAAGUCGAACGGAAAGGCCCUGCUUUUGUGGGGUGCUCGAGUGGCGAAAGGGUGAGUAACACGUGAGUAACCUGCCCUUGACUUUGGGAUAACUUCAGGAAACUGGGGCUAAUACCGGAUAGGAGCUCCUGCUGCAUGGUGGGGGUUGGAAAGUUUCGGCGGUUGGUGAUGGACUCGCGGCUUAUCAGCUUGUUGGUGGGGUAGUGGCUUACCAAGGCUUUGACGGGUAGCCGGCCUGAGAGGGUGACCGGCCACAUUGGGAAUGAGAUACGGCCCAGACUCCUACGGGAGGCAGCAGUGGGGAAUAUUGCACAAUGGGCGGAAGCCUGAUGCAGCAACGCCGCGUGCGGGAUGACGGCCUUCGGGUUGUAAACCGCUUUCGCCUGUGACGAAGCGUGAGUGACGGUAAUGGGUAAAGAAGCACCGGCUAACUACGUG
This 468-nucleotide ribosomal RNA is filed under the name uncultured bacterium. Its description in RNAcentral is "partial 16S ribosomal RNA". It matches the Rfam family "Bacterial small subunit ribosomal RNA", at positions 36 to 507 of the family's 1533-position model. The record is from RNAcentral.